AUAUGACCCUUCGGGCUUCCUUUGUUCUGGGCUCAUGAACAGGAUCUCCUCCUCUGGCACUGUCGCAUCGUAUCGCGCUGUACGGAAGAAUUUGGUGAAAGUUGUGCUCUUACGUCCUGUAGUUGAUCCGCAAUUCAACAGCGUGUGCGCCGGAAGGACCGUUGGUGCAGUCGAUGCCGCGGCACCUGUGACACUAAAAGGAGCGUUUUUCGAGUACGCCUAGAAAGGGACGGCAAGAUUUUGUGAACCAGAGGCACCUCCACAUAUGCACCUGCGGCACUUCUGCAGCCUCAACAGCACGGAAAAGUACCUGAUGUGCAUGCUGUGACAAACUGCUAUAGGUAUGGCUGGACCUGGAGAAGAAGUGUAAGCAGACCAUGCUAUGUUGCUGAUCUGCGCUGAUCUCCACAUCCAAGUUGGUCCCGCGACAGUUGGGUACCAUUUUGCCUUGCUUC
Molecule: long non-coding RNA, 455 nt
Filed under: Dermacentor andersoni
Lineage: Eukaryota; Metazoa; Arthropoda; Arachnida; Ixodida; Ixodidae
Description: uncharacterized LOC126520262
Source: RNAcentral